This 465-nucleotide ribosomal RNA is filed under the name uncultured bacterium. RNAcentral describes it as "partial 16S ribosomal RNA". It matches the Rfam family "Bacterial small subunit ribosomal RNA", at positions 28 to 507 of the family's 1533-position model. The record is from RNAcentral.
GACGAACGCUGGCGGCGUGCUUAACACAUGCAAGUCGAACGGAAAGGCGCUGCUUGCAGGGUACUGGCGUGGCGAACGGGUGAGUAAGAAGCGGGUGAUCUGCCCUGCACUUAGGGAUAAGCAAGGGAAACAGGGUCUAAUACAGAAUAGGAGCCAUUUUUAACGUGAUGGUUGGAAAGUUUUUUCGGUGUCGGGUGAGCUCGCGGCCUAUCGGCUUGUUGGGUGGGUAAUGGGCUACCAAGGCGGCGUAGCGUAGCCCGCCUGAGAGGGUGGACCGCCACAAAGAGACUUAGAUAAGGCCGAGGCUGCGACGGGAGGGAGCAGGGGGGAAUAUUGCACAAUGAACGCAGCCCUGAUGCAGCGGCGCCGCGUAGGGGAUAACUCUGUUCGUAUUGAAAACUCCUUUCGCAAGGGACGAAGCUUUUUUUGACGGUACCUAGAUAGAAAGCACCGGCUAACUACGUG